This 468-nucleotide ribosomal RNA is filed under the name uncultured bacterium. RNAcentral describes it as "bacterial SSU rRNA". It matches the Rfam family "Bacterial small subunit ribosomal RNA", at positions 28 to 507 of the family's 1533-position model. The record is from RNAcentral.
GACGAACGCUGGCGGCGCGCCUAACACAUGCAAGUCGAACGAGAGAUGAAGAGCUUGCUCUUCAAAUCGAGUGGCGAACGGGUGAGUAACGCGUGAGGAACCUGCCUCAAAGAGGGGGACAACAGUUGGAAACGACUGCUAAUACCGCAUAAGCCCACGGCUCGGCAUCGAGCAGAGGGAAAAGGAGUGAUCCGCUUUGAGAUGGCCUCGCGUCCGAUUAGCUAGUUGGUGAGGUAACGGCCCACCAAGGCGACGAUCGGUAGCCGGACUGAGAGGUUGAACGGCCACAUUGGGACUGAGACACGGCCCAGACUCCUACGGGAGGCAGCAGUGGGGAAUAUUGCACAAUGGGGGAAACCCUGAUGCAGCGACGCCGCGUGGAGGAAGAAGGUCUUCGGGAUUGGUAAACUCCUGUUGUUGAGGAAGAUAAUGACGGUACUCAACAAGGAAGUGACGGCUAACUACGUG